Non-coding RNA from Cinara cedri, 429 nucleotides. Lineage: Eukaryota; Metazoa; Arthropoda; Insecta; Hemiptera; Aphididae. The record is from the annotation of a GenBank genome assembly.
CGACAAAAAAUGUACAUUAGGGAAAAUAUCUUUGUCACAAUUUUUUAGUGCUUCUAAACCAAUUUUAAACAUGGUAUCCCCAAUUGUAUUUUUCCAAAUUUGUAAUUCACUCAUACAUGUAUCAAGUACUGUUAUUUUACGGAAUACAAUUAGGUAUAUGAACUAUGAAUUUAUUUUUAUUAUAAUUCAAGCGUAUUAAUUAAUAUCUAUACGGCUAUUCAUUACGAUAUAAUAAUACAUCAUAUAAUCAAAGAGCUAUGGGAGUGGAUCUGUCUUUAUCGGAUUCGAAUUUGUAUUUUCGUAUCGUUGAACCUUUAAACUCUAAACCAUUAAAUUUAAUUAAAUCAUAGAAAAUCAGAACCUAGGUACCUAUAUUAUCAAUCGAAUAUACAUUGUGAAAUCUACUUCAAUCAAUCCCAUAUCGCGUGU